AUGCUUAACAAGAACAAAAUAAGCUUGAAAGAACUUCUCCCUUUUUCUCUCCUGCCACUCAGAUGUGAGGACAUUGUUACAAGCCCCUCAGCUGAGAAGGGGUGGCACUACAUUGCUGGGGAGCUGCCGGAGCCGCUAACAGCCUGCCACAACUGCUGCAAGUGUUACGUGUGGUCCAACUGGUGGCCUGCAGGCCAGCUCCAGGCUGCUGCGCCAAUCCAUCCGGCCCACUGGCUUCUUCCUUGGAGGAGAUGGGGAACAGCUGUUUUGAGCAAGGACUGCACCCUCAGCAGCUGAGCCUGCCCUCCAGCACAAAGCCACAAUGCUGCUGUUGACGGGAGGGUGCCAUCAGGAAUUCUCCAUCAGAAUUUGUGUCAUUUUAUUGCGUCACCAAAGAAACCUCCAGUA
Molecule: long non-coding RNA, 408 nt
Filed under: Apteryx owenii (little spotted kiwi)
Lineage: Eukaryota; Metazoa; Chordata; Aves; Apterygiformes; Apterygidae
Description: lncRNA (ENSAOWG00000011905.1)
Source: RNAcentral